GCUUGUCUCAAAGAUUAAGCCAUGCAUGUCUCAGUACAAGCCAAAUUAAGGUGAAACCGCAAAAGGCUCAUUAAAUCAGUUAUGGUUCCUUAGAUCGUACCCACAAUUACUUGGAUAACUGUGGUAAUUCUAGAGCUAAUACAUGCAAACAGAGCUCCGACCGGAGACGGGAGGAGUGCUUUUAUUAGAUCAAAACCAAUCGGUGGCGGGUUCGCGCUCGUCAUCGUACAACUUGGUGACUCUGAAUAACUUUAAGCUGAUCGCACGGUCAUCGCACCGGCGACGCAUCUUUCAAAUGUCUGACUUAUCAACUGUCGAUGGUAGGUUCUGCGCCUACCAUGGUUGUAACGGGUAACGGGGAAUCAGGGUUCGAUUCCGGAGAGGGAGCCUGAGAAACGGCUACCACAUCCAAGGAAGGCAGCAGGCGCGCAAAUUACCCACUCCCGGCACGGGGAGGUAGUGACGAAAAAUAACGAUACGGGACUCAUCCGAGGCCCCGUAAUCGGAAUGAGUACACUCUAAACCCUUUAACGAGGAUCAAUUGGAGGGCAAGUCUGGUGCC
RNAcentral lists this ribosomal RNA (562 nucleotides) under Trigonopterus sp. 469 MB-2015. Its description in RNAcentral is "SSU rRNA". It matches the Rfam family "Eukaryotic small subunit ribosomal RNA", at positions 30 to 568 of the family's 1831-position model. Lineage: Eukaryota; Metazoa; Arthropoda; Insecta; Coleoptera; Curculionidae. The record is from RNAcentral.